GAUUAAUUGAUUGAUAAAUGGGUUUAUAAAUUACUUAAUACAACAAUUAAACAAUUUGAAACGCAGUGAGCAUGUAGUGCUUUCUAAGUGACAUAAUUGCUUCAAGUUAAUUGUGCAAAUAACGUGAUCUUAAUGCUAAAUACGAAAAUGGAAAUAUAGCUGGAUGCAACGCGUGUACGCGAAUAGUGAAACAAGGAAGAGGAGGACCUAAUCGAGUGAAAGCUAAGGUCAUAAGGCCAAUAAACGUUCCCGGACGAGCCGAUAAGCUGCAUAAUAGCAAAAUACCAAUUGCGUUUCACUACUUUCCUUUUUCUUACCUAGUAUCUGAAUACUACGUACACCGUGGUAUCACGUGUAACCGAUCGUGCAUGGACGUCGAACGGUUCAAUUGAAUUAAAGAGUCAAUUAUGUAGUCUAUGACGCUGGUUUCCGACGGAAGUCAUCAGUUCAAUGCAAAUUACAACCAUCACACAAAGUAUCAAAAACAUCUGUAACUUGAAUAAAAAAAUUUCCUUGUACAAUUGCACAUUUAAUUGGAAUAAUUUAUUCCCGAUGUUUGAAUCGAUGUUAGAGAAACUUAGAUGUACAACGAAGAUAACUGUCAAUUAAAUCUGAUGGAAGAGCAAAUUCAUUUAAGGAUAACACACUUCCCACGGAUAUUUGUAGUCGGCUCGCCGUUAUAAUUAAUGUUAUACAUU
Long non-coding RNA from Megachile rotundata (alfalfa leafcutting bee), 698 nucleotides. NCBI's taxonomy places the organism in Eukaryota, Metazoa, Arthropoda, Insecta, Hymenoptera, Megachilidae. The record is from RefSeq and is a predicted model, not a curated record.